This 1435-nucleotide ribosomal RNA is filed under the name uncultured organism. RNAcentral's name for it is "16S ribosomal RNA". It matches the Rfam family "Bacterial small subunit ribosomal RNA". The record is from RNAcentral.
CAGGCUUAACACAUGCAAGUCGAGGGGCAUCAGGAAGAAAGCUUGCUUUCUUUGCUGGCGACCGGCGCACGGGUGAGUAACACGUAUCCAACCUGCCCUUUACUCGGGGAUAGCCUUUCGAAAGAAAGAUUAAUACCCGAUGGCAUAAUGAUUCCGCAUGGUUUCAUUAUUAAAGGAUUCCGGUAAAGGAUGGGGAUGCGUUCCAUUAGGUUGUUGGUGAGGUAACGGCUCACCAAGCCUUCGAUGGAUAGGGGUUCUGAGAGGAAGGUCCCCCACAUUGGAACUGAGACACGGUCCAAACUCCUACGGGAGGCAGCAGUGAGGAAUAUUGGUCAAUGGGCGCUAGCCUGAACCAGCCAAGUAGCGUGAAGGAUGAAGGCUCUAUGGGUCGUAAACUUCUUUUAUAUAAGAAUAAAGUGCAGUAUGUAUACUGUUUUGUAUGUAUUAUAUGAAUAAGGAUCGGCUAACUCCGUGCCAGCAGCCGCGGUAAUACGGAGGAUCCGAGCGUUAUCCGGAUUUAUUGGGUUUAGAGGGAGCGUAGGUGGACUGGUAAGUCAGUUGUGAAAGUUUGCGGCUCAACCGUAAAAUUGCAGUUGAUACUGUCAGUCUUGAGUACAGUAGAGGUGGGCGGAGUUCGUGGUGUAGCGGUGAAAUGCUUAGAUAUCACGAAGAACUCCGAUUGCGAAGGCAGCUCACUGGACUGCAACUGACACUGAUGCUCGAAAGUGUGGGUAUCAAACAGGAUUAGAUACCCUGGUAGUCCACACAGUAAACGAUGAAUACUCGCUGUUUGCGAUAUACAGUAAGCGGCCAAGCGAAAGCAUUAAGUAUUCCACCUGGGGAGUACGCCGGCAACGGUGAAACUCAAAGGAAUUGACGGGGGCCCGCACAAGCGGAGGAACAUGUGGUUUAAUUCGAUGAUACGCGAGGAACCUUACCCGGGCUUAAAUUGCAGUGGAAUGAUGUGGAAACAUGUCAGUGAGCAAUCACCGCUGUGAAGGUGCUGCAUGGUUGUCGUCAGCUCGUGCCGUGAGGUGUCGGCUUAAGUGCCAUAACGAGCGCAACCCUUAUCUUUAGUUACUAACAGGUUAUGCUGAGGACUCUAGAGAGACUGCCGUCGUAAGAUGUGAGGAAGGUGGGGAUGACGUCAAAUCAGCACGGCCCUUACGUCCGGGGCUACACACGUGUUACAAUGGGGGGUACAGAAGGCAGCUAGCGGGUGACCGUAUGCUAAUCCCAAAAGCCUCUCUCAGUUCGGAUCGAAGUCUGCAACCCGACUUCGUGAAGCUGGAUUCGCUAGUAAUCGCGCAUCAGCCACGGCGCGGUGAAUACGUUCCCGGGCCUUGUACACACCGCCCGUCAAGCCAUGGGAGCCGGGGGUACCUGAAGUACGUAACCGCAAGGAUCGUCCUAGGGUAAAACUGGUGACUGGGGC